This 257-nucleotide ribosomal RNA is filed under the name uncultured bacterium. RNAcentral's name for it is "partial 16S ribosomal RNA". It matches the Rfam family "Bacterial small subunit ribosomal RNA", at positions 524 to 776 of the family's 1533-position model. The record is from RNAcentral.
UACGUAGGGUGCAAGCGUUGUCCGGAAUUAUUGGGCGUAAAGAGCUCGUAGGCGGUCUGUCGCGUCUGCUGUGAAAACUCAGGGCUUAACCCUGAGCUUGCAGUGGGUACGGGCAGACUAGAGUGCGGUAGGGGAGACUGGAAUUCCUGGUGUAGCGGUGAAAUGCGCAGAUAUCAGGAGGAACACCGGUGGCGAAGGCGGGUCUCUGGGCCGAUACUGACGCUGGAGGAGCGAAAAGCCGUGGGGGAGCGAACAGG